Molecule: ribosomal RNA, 497 nt
Filed under: uncultured bacterium
Lineage: Bacteria
Description: partial 16S ribosomal RNA
Rfam family: Bacterial small subunit ribosomal RNA
Source: RNAcentral
GAUGAACGCUGGCGGCGUGCCUAAUACAUGCAAGUCGAGCGAACAGAUGAGGAGCUUGCGCCUCUGACGUUAGCGGCGGACGGGAGAGUAACACGUGGAUAAGCUAAAUAUAAGACAAGGAUAACUACGGGAAACCGGAGCUAAUAGCGGAUGAUAUAAUGCACCGCAUGGUUGACUAGUGUCUGACGGUCUUGCUGUCACUUCUAGAGGGUACCGCGACGCAUUAGCUGGUUGGUUAGGUAACGGCUUACCACGGCACCGAUGCGUAGCCGACCUGAGAGGUUGUCCGGCGCCACUGGAACUGAGACACGGUCCAGACUCCUACGGGAGGCAGCAGUAGGGAAUCUUCCGAAAUGGGCGAGAGCCUGACGGAGCAACGCCGCGUGAGUGAUGAAGGCCUUCGGAUCGUAAAACUCUGUUAUUAGGGAAGAACAAAUGUGUAAGUAGCUGUGCACGUCUUGACGGUACCUGAUCAGAAAGCCACGGCUAACUACGUG